Pongo pygmaeus (Bornean orangutan) is the source of this 3586-nucleotide long non-coding RNA. RefSeq lists it as uncharacterized. The record is from RefSeq and is a predicted model, not a curated record. The transcript has 3 exons. NCBI's taxonomy places the organism in Eukaryota, Metazoa, Chordata, Mammalia, Primates, Hominidae.
CUUGGCACCAGGUGGAACUUCUAAGGAAUAAGAAAUGGAAGGCCACAGGUGAGGUCCAUGUGGAUUGAGGGGCUUCCGUUGGGCAGAGGCUACACUGCUGUCUACCUUCAAUGUACAGGCUAGCUCUGGGAACAAAAAGAGCACAGUUUGGCAGUCAGAGACUGACCUGGUGGCAAAUCCCUGCUCAUAAGCUGUGUGGCUUUGGGCAGGUCACAUAACCUCUCUGUGCCCCCAUUUCCCCAUUAGAGCUAACAUUUAUAAAGCAUAAACUGCCAGGAACUGUUCUAACCACUUUACAAAUACUGACUCAUAUCAUUGGCACAGCAGUAACAUCUUCAUUUUCUUUUCUUUCUUUUUUUUUUUUUUGAGAUGGAGUCUCACUCUGUUGCCCAGGCUGGAGUGUAGUGGCAUGAUCUUGGCUCACUGCAACCUGCGCCUCCCAGCUUCGAGUGAUCCUCCUGCCCCAGCCUCCCGAGUAGCUGGGAUUACAGGCGUGCACCACCACGCCCGGCUAAUUUUUGUAUUUUUAAUAGAGACAGGGUUUCACCAUGUUUGCCAGGCUGGUCUCCAGCUCCCAAUCUCAGGUGAUCCACCCACCUCGGCCUCCCAAAGUGGUGGAAUUACAGGCAUGAGCCACCGCGCCCAGCCUAGUAUCUUCAUUUUCAGACGGGAGAACAGUUGUCCACAGACACAGAGCCAGUGAGUAGGAAAUGGGAUUUGAGCCCAGCAGCUUGGCUCUUACCCACUCCUGCACCUGUUUGCACAAAGAGGAUAAAUUACAGCUCCCAGCUCACGGGGAGGCUGUGAGAAUCAGGUGAGAGAAUGUGUGCGACAGUCUGGUAAGUGGCAGGUGCCCAGCGCAGAGGGGCUGAGGCAGAAAAGAGUCACUGCUCUGAGUUCAGGCCAUUCCAUUGCUUUUUUUUUUUUUUUUUUUUUCUUGAGACAGGGUCUCACUCUGUCGCCCAGGCUGGAGUACAGUGACCUGCGGGCUCAAGCAAUCCUCCCACCUUAGCCUCCCAAGUAGCUGGGACUACCGACGUGCACCACCACAUUUGGCUAAUUUUUUUUUCUUUUCUUUUCUUUUUUUUUUUUUUUUUUUGAGACAGUCUCACUUUGUCGCCCAGGUUGGAGUGCAGUAGCCGGAUCUCGGCUCACUGCAACCUCCACCUCCCGGAUUCAAGCAAUUCUCCUGCCUCAGCCUCCCAAGUAGCUGGGACUACAGGCGCCCACAACUGUGCCUGGCUAAUUUUUGUAUUUUUAGUAGAGACGGGGUUUCACUAUGUUGGCCAGGCUGGUCUUGAACUCCUGACCUCAGGUGAUCCACCCGCCUUGGCCUACCACAGUGCUGGGAUUAUAGGCAUGAGCCACACCGCACACGGCCUGGCUAAUUUUUUUAAAUUUUUUUGUAGAGACAGGGUCUCACUAGGUUGCCCAGGGUGGUCUCAAGUUCCUGAGCUGAAGCAGUCCACCCACCUCAGCCUCCCAAAGUGUUGAGAUGACAGGCUUUAGCCACCUGGCAUGGCAGGCUGUCCCAAUUCUAAUCUCAGCUCUCAGCUACUUACUGGCUGUGUGACCAUGGGCAAGUUAUUUAACCUCCAUGUGCCUCAGUUUCCUCAUUUUUAAUAUUGUUACAGGUGAGGAUUACAGGAUUUCACUGAUGUUAAGAAGUACCCUUUAAUAGCUCUGAAAUCAUAGUUUAAUUGGCAAUUAAAAAAAUUUUAGUGGACUAGGCACGGUGGCUCAUACCCAGCAUUUUGGGAGGCUGAGGUAGAAGGAUCACUUGAGCUCAGGAGUUUGAGGUCACACUGGGCAACACAGUGAGACUUCAUUUCUACAAAAAAAUUAAAAAAUUAGUUGGGUGUGGUGGUGCGUGCCUGUGGCCAGGUCGCUUCCCAGCUAGGAUCUCAGUAGGAUUGCUUGAGCCCAGGAGGCUGAGGCUGCAGUGAGCUGUGAUUGCGCUACUGCUCUAUAGUCUGGGCAACAGAGGGAGACCCUGUCUCAGAAAAAAAAAAGGAAAGAAAAUUAGUGGCAUAAAGUUAUAGUGGAUUUUUUUUCAAUCGAUGAGGUCUUUGAUUCUGUGAAAUAUGGUAAAUGAUGUAGCAAGCGCCCAGCACGACGUCCCUGUUCCCAUUCUAUCAGCCAGCUAUCUGAGGAGUGGGUUGGGAUGGGGCUCAGUGUUCUGAGAGAAGUGGGUUCGAGCUCUGCCGCUGAGCCCUGGGUGUGGGCGCCCAGUCGUCCGGGAAGCGCCCCACAAGCCCAGGCAAGUCCCGACAGCGGUAGCCCGAGCCCAAGCGCUGCGGGCCCGGCGUCCCAGUGACCCCAGUUCCGGGUCCGAGACACCGCCGGCGGCAUCUCCCACUCCCGGGCCCGGGCCGCUCCGGGCCAGGAAGGGAGGGACGCCCCGGGUGACUCAGCCGCCGUGACUCGGCCGCCGUGACUCGGCGGAACGGACGCCCCUCCUUCCCUCCCCUGUCGACACGUGCUCUCAGCCCCUCGACAGGAAACGGGCACCUGCAGCCUCCCAGGUGCCCCCGGCGGGCAGCGGGCGCCGUUAGGGGCCGAGAGUGGGGUCGCGAGAGUCGCCCGCAGCCUGACCCCGCGCACGUCCCGGAACCUCGAGGUCUCUAUUGGCCGCAUUUGCCAAAGGGAUCGAGGGCUGGUCUCCAGGGACCUGGCAGGUUCCACUGCCCGGACCCCCCCGGGCUCCCCAGGCCGAGAAACGAUAGGGACUUGGCGACGGAGGGGCGAAGGACAGACAGACGGACGGACACGCGGAGGGUCGCAGACCGGGCCGGGACUCCCACCCUGGCCCAGCUGCUCUCCCGACGGAUCCCGCCUCCCUCCCGUGUGGGGACGCUCACCCCAGCCCAGACUCCAGAUCCCAGGAAUUCAGCCCGAGGCGGAGAGACCCUCCUAGCCGUCGGGGCGACCACCCCAGGCGCCCACGCCCCUUCUGAAGCAGGGUGGACGCAGAAGUCACAGGGUCUCUGUCACCCAGGCUGGAGUGCAGUGGCUCGAUCUCGGCGCACUGCAGGCUCAACUUCCUGAGCUAAAGGGAUUCACCUGCCUCAGCGCCCCCUCCAAGUAAGUGGGACUACAGGCGCUGGUCACCAUGCCCAGAAAAGGAAACUGAGGCUCAGAGAAAAAGGACUUGCCCAAGGUCACACCUGUAGUGCGUGGCAGGGCCGAAGGAUGAAUCCAGGCGUGGGAGCAACCGGCCCCAGCUACACCUCCCGGCCCUGCCAAGGCCCCCUUUUUCUGGUAGGUAUCCGGUGCGCUGGCAUUUAAUAGAGGAACGCAAAGAAGCGCACGUUCCCGCAGCUCCCGAGGCCGGCUCUGUAAGGCCAGGCCUCCCGGGCAGGCGUUAUCGGGCUCACUUAAAGACGAGGACACUGAGGUCCAGAGAGGUUACAGGCCGUUCCGAGGCCAAAGGGGCGGUUCCCGGACUCGAACCUGGGCUUGUUAGAGCCCGCAGGAGAACCAGGCUCCGGCCGUGCCGCGCCCGCCGCCAUUAACGCCCACGGCCCGAGCUGUGCUCCCGCCCCGGCCCUGCCCUGCCCCUCCCGCCGCCCGCAGUCACCUCCGG